Molecule: ribosomal RNA, 255 nt
Filed under: uncultured bacterium
Lineage: Bacteria
Description: partial 16S ribosomal RNA
Rfam family: Bacterial small subunit ribosomal RNA
Source: RNAcentral
UACGUAGGGGGGCAAGCGUUGUCCGGAAUCAUUGGGCGUAAAGCGCGCGUAGGCGGCCCGGUAAGUCCGCUGUAAAAGUCCAGGGCUCAACCCUGGAAAGCCGGUGGAUACUGUCGGGCUAGAGUCCGGAAGAGGCGAGUGGAAUUCCUGGUGUAGCGGUGGAAUGCGCAGAUAUCAGGAGGAACACCGAUGGCGAAGGCAGCUCGCUGGGACGGUACUGACGCUGAGGCGCGAAGGCGUGGGGAGCGAACAGGG